Molecule: long non-coding RNA, 572 nt
Organism: Melospiza georgiana
Lineage: Eukaryota; Metazoa; Chordata; Aves; Passeriformes; Passerellidae
Exons: 3
Source: RefSeq, a predicted model, not a curated record
UAUUCCCAGGUAUUUUUCCUCCAGGUCAUACUGAGGCCAAUGGACCAAGCCCUCCCCGUUGGGAUUUCUGGAAAUAAAAGAAGGAAAAGUUAGCUCUCCAUUUGACAAUCCAUUGCUGUCUGACUGCUCAGGUUCAGAGCAUUUCAGAAAACCAGCAGGUGCUUUAAAAAGACCUUUAAGAAGAGAAAUUGCUUCAACAUUUCUCUUCAAUUCUGUCAAAUUUCAGGAAGCACCAUAUAAGUACUGCUUCAGGCAGCACCUCCUGCAAAGGGAGAGAGGGAAGGGCCACAUUAGAAAGUAACUAAUGAGUAUCAGCUGUAUCAUUGCAACACUUCUCCUGGUUGCCAUGAGCUGUUGGAGGUUUUUCUAGGAGAGACCUGCAGAUGAAUGAUGUAUUGCAAAGUAUCUGCUAGUGAAGACAGAAGAUGCUUAUGCUCAUAAUGAGGCUUAUGAUAUAUAAGGUAUGCUAAUAAUAGACAUAAUGUUUGUAAUGCUUAUAAAGAGAGAAAUUCUAUUCUAAAGCCAUGCAGUAAUUGAAAUAAGAAGUAAUGAGGGUCUAAAAGGAAGAUGGA